RNAcentral lists this small RNA (640 nucleotides) under Pan troglodytes (chimpanzee). RNAcentral's name for it is "processed transcript". Lineage: Eukaryota; Metazoa; Chordata; Mammalia; Primates; Hominidae. The record is from RNAcentral.
AGGGAAGGGAAAUCGGGCCGGGCAUUAGGCUCCAUCGCUCAUCAAUAGACAAGGCCUUUAGGAAACUGCGACAACGGCUUUUGCUCUGGGCCUUUACUGCCGAAUCCAGGUCUCCGGGCUUAACAACAACGAAGGGGCUCUGACUGGCUGCUUUCUCAACCAAUCAGCACCGAACUCAUUUGCAUGGGCUGAGAACAAAUGUUCGCGAACUCUAGAAAUGAAUGACUUAAUGGUCCUGGCGGAGGUGAUCCAGGCGUUCUCCGCCCCGGAGAACGCAGUGCGCAUGGACGAGGCUCGGGAUAACGCCUGCAACGACAUGGGUAAGAUGCUGCAAUUCGUGCUGCCCGUGGCCACGCAGAUCCAGCAGGAGGUUAUCAAAGCCUAUGGCUUCAGCUGCGACGGGGAAGGUGUCCUUAAGUUUGCUCGCUUGGUCAAGUCCUACGAAGCCCAGGAUCCUGAGAUCGCCAGCCUGUCAGGCAAGCUGAAGGCGCUGUUCCUGCCGCCCAUGACCCUGCCACCCCAUGGGCCUGCUGCUGGUGGCAGCGUGGCCGCCUCCUGAGAGUUGGCCCUCCCUUGUGCCACUGCCAGGGGAGGAAAGGCCUUGAUGUUCCAGACAAUAAUAAAUGCGCCUGUGACUUAG